RNAcentral lists this ribosomal RNA (714 nucleotides) under Clavibacter sp. B144F. Its description in RNAcentral is "bacterial SSU rRNA". It matches the Rfam family "Bacterial small subunit ribosomal RNA", at positions 62 to 786 of the family's 1533-position model. Lineage: Bacteria; Bacillati; Actinomycetota; Actinomycetes; Micrococcales; Microbacteriaceae. The record is from RNAcentral.
UCGAACGGGGAUGUCAGAGCUUGCUCUGGCGGAUCAGUGGCGAACGGGUGAGUAACACGUGAGUAACCUGCCCCCGACUCUGGGAUAACUGCUAGAAAUGGUAGCUAAUACCGGAUAUGACGACUGGCCGCUUGGUCUGGUCGUGGAAAGAAUUUCGGUUGGGGAUGGACUCUCGGCCUAUCAGGUUGUUGGUGAGGUAAUGGCUCACCUUGCCUACGACGGGUAGCCGGCCUGAAAGGGUGACCGGCCACGCUGGGACUGAGACACGGCCCACACUCCUACCGGAGGCAGCAAUGGGGAAUAUUGCACAAUGGGCGCAAGCCUGAUGCAGCAACGCCGCGUGAGGGAUGACGGCCUUCGGGUUGUAAACCUCUUUUAGUAUGGAAGAAGCGAAAGUGACGGUACCUGCACAAAAAGCACCGGCUAACUACGUGCCAGCAGCCGCGGUAAUACGUAGGGUGCAAGCGUUGUCCGGAAUUAUUGGGCGUAAAGAGCUCGUAGGCGGUUUGUCGCGUCUGCUGUGAAAUCCCGAGGCUCAACCUCGGGUCUGCAGUGGGUACGGGCAGACUAGAGUGCGGUAGGGGAGAUUGGAAUUCCUGGUGUAGCGGUGGAAUGCGCAGAUAUCACGAGGAACACCGAUGGCGAAGGCAGAUCUCUGGGCCGUAACUGACGCUGAUGAGCGAAAGCAUGUGCUAGCGAACAGGAUUAGAUACU